RNAcentral lists this ribosomal RNA (158 nucleotides) under Fibroporia citrina. RNAcentral's name for it is "5.8S ribosomal RNA". It matches the Rfam family "5.8S ribosomal RNA". From Rfam's summary of the family: 5.8S ribosomal RNA (5.8S rRNA) is a component of the large subunit of the eukaryotic ribosome. It is transcribed by RNA polymerase I as part of the 45S precursor that also contains 18S and 28S rRNA. Lineage: Eukaryota; Fungi; Basidiomycota; Agaricomycetes; Polyporales; Fibroporiaceae. The record is from RNAcentral.
AAUACAACUUUCAGCAACGGAUCUCUUGGCUCUCGCAUCGAUGAAGAACGCAGCGAAAUGCGAUAAGUACUGUGAAUUGCAGAAUUCAGUGAAUCAUCGAAUCUUUGAACGCACCUUGCGCUCCUUGGUAUUCUGAGGAGCAUGCCUGUUUGAGUGUC